CGGCAGCCGUCAGAAUCAUGGUUGACCGCGGCUGGAUACAGGUGUUGCUGUUGGCGUCUGCCGGUUUCGCGCUGGUCAGGUGCGAUGACGACAAGACGAUAGUCAGUGCCCGCAUUGAUAGUUGCAGCGGGUGACGUCUGAACGGCCUGGAGGAUGUUAAAGCAUUCGUCCAGGAUCAGUUCCGUUUCUACGAGAAUGUGGAGUUCGUCGAGAAAUCUGGCGAGGACCCGUUCUUGUUGUUCCUCAACAAAGAUGGUGAAACAGUGGAGAAACACGCCCUAGAGUUCCUGAAGGGCCCAGCCAUUCACACUCUGCUCCGUACCAGAGGUAUCAAGAAGCUGGCCAACCCAGGCAAGAAGCCAACGCUAAAGGGUUGGGACAAGCUUUUCGACGCGGAAGGCAAUUAUAUUUUCCCGGACGAACCACCGUCUUCUUCUUGGGACGACAAGCAAGCCCAAGACGAUAAAGACGAGUUGUAAGUUCUGGGCGUACAUGCCUGGAACAAGGCAGGUUAUUCUGUUGUGGAAUAUGAAAACUUUUGCAUAUAUCGCCACAUCCAUCAUCUGUCAUCAGGACCGCUGAGGGGUGACAGCCAGAAUAACCUACCGAGUCUUCAUUUCAACUUCUCCCUCCCUACCAGAAUGUGAGCGUUGACCUCAUUGACCUCAAUGACCUCUGCCACAAAUCCUCCAGCGUCACUGUCUUCUAACAAAAUCCUUUCUUCUUUCUAAUCAUGGUCGUAUGAUGGCAGCACCCGAAAUCUUACAGGGUGUCGCUUGAUCCUUUGCUUGUUGUUAGUCAGAAAUCAAGUGUUGAGUUGGGAUUCAGAGGCUGGGCGGGUUUUAGAAAUGAACACAUGUAACCCCCAUUGUUGCAACGACAUUAUAUGAAUAUGAUAUAGAUUUUAAUAGUUUUGAAAUAAACCCACUUUAUAAUCCUA
This is a long non-coding RNA of Lineus longissimus, 940 nucleotides long. RefSeq lists it as uncharacterized. The record is from RefSeq and is a predicted model, not a curated record. Lineage: Eukaryota; Metazoa; Nemertea; Pilidiophora; Heteronemertea; Lineidae. The transcript is spliced from 4 exons.